UAUUCUACUCCACGGGGAAGGAUGAGAAGCUUCGACUAAGGUUCGACUCGAGCGUAGCGAGAGAACGUUGCCGCAGGCAACGGCCCGAAGGGCGAGGCGCUUUAGCGCCGAGUUAUCCUUCCCCCACCAUUC
RNAcentral lists this small RNA (132 nucleotides) under Klebsiella sp. D-Nf1. RNAcentral's name for it is "RtT sRNA". It matches the Rfam family "RtT RNA". Rfam says of the family: This family represents a bacterial cis-regulatory element known as RtT RNA. The exact function of RtT is unknown although it is thought that it may be involved in changing the cellular response in relation to amino acid starvation. RNAcentral also lists the same sequence under 1 other name. The record is from RNAcentral. Lineage: Bacteria; Pseudomonadati; Pseudomonadota; Gammaproteobacteria; Enterobacterales; Enterobacteriaceae.